This 67-nucleotide transfer RNA is filed under the name Kamimuria klapaleki. Its description in RNAcentral is "tRNA-Ala". It matches the Rfam family "tRNA". Rfam says of the family: Transfer RNA (tRNA) molecules are approximately 80 nucleotides in length. Their secondary structure includes four short double-helical elements and three loops (D, anti-codon, and T loops). Further hydrogen bonds mediate the characteristic L-shaped molecular structure. tRNAs have two regions of fundamental functional importance: the anti-codon, which is responsible for specific mRNA codon recognition, and the 3' end, to which the tRNAs corresponding amino acid is attached (by aminoacyl-tRNA synthetases). tRNAs cope with the degeneracy of the genetic code in two manners: having more than one tRNA (with a specific anti-codon) for a particular amino acid; and 'wobble' base-pairing, i.e. permitting non-standard base-pairing at the 3rd anti-codon position. The record is from RNAcentral. Lineage: Eukaryota; Metazoa; Arthropoda; Insecta; Plecoptera; Perlidae.
AGGACUGUAGUUAAGUAUAACAUUUGGUUUGCAUCUAAAAAGUAUUGACUCGCUUCAAUCUGUCUUA